Molecule: ribosomal RNA, 406 nt
Filed under: uncultured bacterium
Lineage: Bacteria
Description: partial 16S ribosomal RNA
Rfam family: Bacterial small subunit ribosomal RNA
Source: RNAcentral
AUUGAACGCUGGCGGCAGGCUUAACACAUGCAAGUCGAGCGAGCGGCGGACGGGUGAGCAAUGUCUGGGAAAAUGCCUGAUGGAGGGGGAUAACUACUGGAAACGGUAGCUAAUACCGCAUACCAUCAGAUGUGCCCAGAUGGGAGUAGAUAGUAGGUGGGGUAUUGGAUCACCGAGGCGACGAUCCCUAGCUGGGCUGAGAGGAGGACCAGGCAAACUGGAACUGAGACACGGUCCAGAGUACUACGGGAGGCAGCAGUGGGGAAUAUUGCACAAUGGGCGCAAGCGUGAUGCAGCCAUGCCGCGUGUGUGAAGAUGGCCUUCGGGUUGUAAAGUACUUUCAGCGAGGAGGCGUUACUCGCAGAAGAAGCACCGGCUAACUCCGUGCCAGCAGCCGCGGUAAUUC